RNAcentral lists this long non-coding RNA (334 nucleotides) under Aotus nancymaae (Ma's night monkey). Its description in RNAcentral is "lncRNA (ENSANAG00000039226.1)". The record is from RNAcentral. Lineage: Eukaryota; Metazoa; Chordata; Mammalia; Primates; Aotidae.
CUGUCUCUUCUUUAACUGAGACAACGAGCUGUGUUCUCUGUCUGGUUCUCCAAUAGCUACAACAGUGGAGCCUUCAGCUAGCGGGAAAAGAAAAUCCCAAGGCCUUUGAUCUCUAGUCCCAUCACCUUGAUUGGUCUCCAUGGCAACUACCAUACCGAGGAAUAAUUUGGUGAUCCUGAAUUUAAUGGAAUCUCUCCUCACCCCCACCCCAGAUUGGGUGGGCAAAAAAAAAUCACAAGGUUGAGCAAAGACACUGAGACACCUGCUGGUGUGGGGAAAUGGAGGAAACCCAGGCUCUUGUUCAGCCCGAGUUGCACACGCUCCUACGGUGGCC